Molecule: transfer RNA, 156 nt
Filed under: Rhizobium leguminosarum
Lineage: Bacteria; Pseudomonadati; Pseudomonadota; Alphaproteobacteria; Hyphomicrobiales; Rhizobiaceae
Description: tRNA-OTHER
Source: RNAcentral
GGCGAGUGUUUAUUAAAGAUGGUCUAACUAGCUGUAAAAUAUGUUGAAUUUAUCAAUGUGCGGAGCCAUCAUGUUGGUGACUGUUGGCACUAGCAUCGGGUCUGCAACUUACUUUUAAUCAGUAGGUCUCGGGUUCGAACCCCGACGCUCUCACCA